AUUGGGGAGGAAGGAACCAACCGGGAUUGCCUCAGUAACGGCGAGUGAAGCGGCAAGAGCUCAAAUUUGAAAUCUGGCCCCCCUGGGGGUCCGAGUUGUAAUUUGGAGAGGAUGCUUCGGGUACGGUGCCCAUCUAAGUGCCCUGGAACGGGCGGUCAUAGAGGGUGAGAAUCCCGUAUGGGAUGGGCGGCCGUGCCCGUGUGAAGCUCCUUCGACGAGUCGAGUUGUUUGGGAAUGCAGCUCUAAGCGGGUGGUAAAUUUCAUCUAAAGCUAAAUACUGGCCGGAGACCGAUAGCGCACAAGUAGAGUGAUCGAAAGAUGAAAAGCACUUUGAAAAGAGAGUUAAACAGCACGUGAAAUUGUUGAAAGGGAAGCGUUGGCCACCAUACGCGUCCGGGAGGGUUCAUCCGGCACUUGUGCCGGUGUACUCCCCCCGGGGU
This 440-nucleotide ribosomal RNA is filed under the name fungal sp. RNAcentral's name for it is "partial large subunit ribosomal RNA". It matches the Rfam family "Eukaryotic large subunit ribosomal RNA", at positions 46 to 495 of the family's 3401-position model. Lineage: Eukaryota; Fungi. The record is from RNAcentral.